This 853-nucleotide small RNA is filed under the name Pongo abelii (Sumatran orangutan). RNAcentral's name for it is "processed transcript". The record is from RNAcentral. Lineage: Eukaryota; Metazoa; Chordata; Mammalia; Primates; Hominidae.
CGGGACGUGCGGAGGCUCUCACUUUCCGUCAUGGCGCUGAAGGUAGUGACCGUCGCCGGCAGCGCCGCGAAGGCGGUGCUCAGGCCAGCCCUUCUCUGCCGUCCCUGGGAGUGGGCCAUGCUGCACAGACAGGGGACCUGCCUGGGCACAGUGUGGACGGUCCAUUUUUCCUUCCAACUUGGCUUUCUGGGCUAGACAUCAAACCAACCGCUGGCAUUUGGUCUCUCUGCCAGGUUCUAGGCGCCCACGAGGUCCCCUCGAGGAGCAUCUCUUCACAACAAACAAUUCCUCCGUCGGCUAAGUAUGGCGGGCGGCACACGGUGACCAUGAUCCCAGGGGAUGGCAUCGGGCCGGAGCUCAUGCUGCAUGUCAAGUCCGUCUUCAGGCACGCAUGUGUACCAGUGGACUUUGAAGAGGUGCACGUGAGUUCCAAUGCUGAUGAAGAGGACAUUCGCAAUGCCAUCAUGGCCAUCCGCCGGAACCGCGUGGCCCUGAAGGGCAACAUCGAAACCAACCAUAACCUGCCACCGUCGCACAAAUCUCGAAACAACAUCCUUCGCACCAGCCUGGACCUCUAUGCCAACGUCAUCCACUGUAAGAGCCUGCCAGGUGUGGUGACCCGGCACAAGGACAUAGACAUCCUCAUUGUCCGGGAGAACACGGAGGGCGAGUACAGCAGCCUGGAGCAUGAGAGUGUGGCGGGAGUGGUGGAGAGCCUGAAGAUCAUCACCAAGGCCAAGUCCCUGCGCAUUGCCGAGUAUGCCUUCAAGCUGGCGCAGGAGAGUGGGCGCAAGAAAGUGACGGCUGUGCACAAGGCCAACAUCAUGAAACUGGGCGACGGGCUUUUCCUCCA